GCUGGGUGUGGUGGUGGGCACCUGUAAUCCCAGCUACUCGGGAAGCUGAGGCAGGAGAAUCGCUUGAACCUGGGAGGCGGAGGUUGCAGUGAGCCAAGAUUGUGCCACUGCACUCCAGCCUGGGUGACAGAGCGAGACUCUGUCUCAA
Molecule: unclassified non-coding RNA, 148 nt
Organism: Macaca fascicularis (crab-eating macaque)
Lineage: Eukaryota; Metazoa; Chordata; Mammalia; Primates; Cercopithecidae
Rfam family: Metazoan signal recognition particle RNA
About the family: The signal recognition particle (SRP) is a universally conserved ribonucleoprotein.
Source: Ensembl